Molecule: transfer RNA, 59 nt
Filed under: Neotoma lepida (desert woodrat)
Lineage: Eukaryota; Metazoa; Chordata; Mammalia; Rodentia; Cricetidae
Rfam family: tRNA
About the family: Transfer RNA (tRNA) molecules are approximately 80 nucleotides in length. Their secondary structure includes four short double-helical elements and three loops (D, anti-codon, and T loops).
Source: Rfam by way of RNAcentral
AUGGCUCAGUAGUUAGGAGCAUUGGUUUUCUUCCAAAAGACCUGGGUUCAAUUCCCAGU